Rana temporaria (common frog) is the source of this 629-nucleotide long non-coding RNA. RefSeq lists it as uncharacterized. Lineage: Eukaryota; Metazoa; Chordata; Amphibia; Anura; Ranidae. The record is from RefSeq and is a predicted model, not a curated record. The transcript has 2 exons.
AUGAUGGGGGAGAGCCGGGGUGAGGCGGUGGAAGUCUUCCUCGGGGUCCGGUUUCUGUCAUGCUGCAACAGGUUCUCCCGGAGAGUCUUCACCAGAUCCUCGUUCAGGGCAAUAUUCUCCCAUACCUUAUAGAAGAAGAGCGAGAAUUCCACUGUGGGGCAGAGAGUCUGAACAUCAGCUGUACUAGAGACGUCAGAACCAUGACUCCAACCCGAGACACACAAUGCGCCCAUUGACCGUGUCUGUACAUCAGCUGUAUCAGAGACGUCAGAACCCUCUCUCUUGCAAGAUACAGGCGUACUAUGGUCAUUCUGAACUGCCAAGAACAAGGGAGCAUCCAGAGUCUCCCUCUCCAUAAUCAGCAGAGAGAAGAGAGUGUCCUGCAUGCAGAAUCUACUUACAGGAAUUGGAAGAGGGAGCACAAAUUAUAAGACUACUCUGCUCUCACCAAUUUCACACCGCCUGCAUCUGGAGAUGGGAGUCAGGAAAGAUUUACUUGCCAUAUUCAAGUACGUGUCUUGCUUCUGUCUUUUCAAUUGCUUUAUUAGCUGGAGAAAUUAUUUUGAGUUUAUUUAGUUGGUUAAAAACUAUAUCUUUGGGAAACUCUUAAUAAAUGUCAUUCUCUCCUG